UACAUCACACAAAGCAGCCACAACUGUCAGUAAGAGUGUCCAUGAUUGAGUCUUUGAAUGAAGAGAUUGAGACUGAACUGAAAAGACGAGCGACACAGUGAUGUGUAUGUGUAGCGGGUUUCUUAUGUACCACAGGAGAACCAAGAAAUGAAGAGCGACACCACGGCUGUCUUUUAGGAUUUUAUGUUGAUCUGCAAUAGUAUUGUGAAAAGACAGGACAGGAACACAUCAGUCUCCAAUGCACCAUCUGACAAGUUGUUCUACACAGGAGCAUGAAGAAAGGUAAAACACAUAUCCUGUCUCACAUCCCCAAUACAUUGCUAGGUGCUUUCAGUGUUGACAGUACCAAAAUACAACAACUCAUGUACAAAAACACUGCAACAAACAAGUUACAACGUGAAAUCGCCUCUAUUCCAUUCAGACCGUAGAGGACCAAACUACAUCUCCCAUAAUGCAACGCCAGCACCGAAAGAAUGCACAUUUCCAGAUAUCAUCAACAGUAAUACAAUUGAGGCACGGCAGAGGACAGGGAGAGCUCUGCAGUGUUGAUUUAUGAUAUUUGAAUGUGCAUUAGAUGGCAACAGGAUCAUAUUGUACAGCAAUUUCGUCAGGUAACAUGAAUACUAAGCCAGCGAGAUGUGGUUAGAAUAGGAUGGGGGGACAAAAGUCAGUGUAACUAAUAGUCAGAGUCCCAAGUGUGGGAACAGUCACUGUCCCACUUUAGAGUAAACAAGAAUGUUCAUAGUCAACAAAGCAUGCAGGAGUCAUGAGGCAAAAUGUACACACACAGUGCCUGUGUGCUGAAUGCAAGUGAAAGCUUGGUAGGGAGGGGGGAGUGUGGUAGGGGUACAUGUACCAGACAGGGGGAGAUAAGCCAGGGCAGACGGUGAACAGAUCGCCAGGUGGAAUCCAAGCAGCAGUGCAGUGGGAGCAGGUGUCACACCCACUUGGGACAAGCUUUAUUUCUGGAGGAGGCAUUUCCUUGCUGCUGCUAAAAGAUAAUCUAUCAAUUUAAGUAGAGAGGAUUGGAGUGUCUCUAACAGGAACAAUACCUAGGAGGAAAUUACAUGGAUCUGGUUGAAUAAUGCCUGUGAUGUCCUGUAUAACAUGAUUCACACUGCAAUGAGUUCCUAAGAUUAUUCAAAGAUAAUAUUUGCAUGUCCAUUGUAGGUUUUAGAAAAUAUUCAAAUAAAGGCUGUGUUUUGUGUAGGCUUACCCUGGCCUGGCAUUUUGAUAACCGUGUUAAUCUCUCCCAGACAAGGUGACUUUUAUUAAUAUAUUUGCCUGUAUUUAACCCCCAAAAUGACAUUUAACUGCUAUCAUAGAGAACUACAAAUGCUUGUCUCAAGCUUCACAUCCCUCACCAAGGGUCAUGGUCAUCUGGAUGAGACUGCCAAAUCAAGGCUCAGAACCAAUGGGUGUGCCUGAGGCUUACCACCUCUCAAUUAGAUGCAGACCCAAAGACAUUCAAGUCUCCAAUUGUCCCAGUAAGAGUUUAUGUACAGGCCUAAGUGACCAUAAACAAUGGACCUACAGCUGGGGUGAAAUUAUUCCAUCAUUCACACACAGUAGACCUGGUGUAAACGUGGUCAACAAAAUGUUGUCCGCAAUGCUUAAGUUGUAUUGUCUAUGGCUCAGUUUUUUGAAAUGCUGUGAUCACUAAGGAAUGACGUUGAGGGACACACGCUGAGACCCGAGUAUGACUGGACAGACAUUUGUGACAACGACCUAAAAGGGGUGCAAAAGCAUACCAGCACCCCAUUUUAUGUUUAUUCCAUGGCCAACCAUCCUCUAGCUACCCCUUAUUCCACAUCUAUGCCUUUUCUGCCUCAACUUCGAACACUUUGGAUCUAUCCAUCUUAACUCUAUAAACCCACCCUACCUUCACCCAUUUUCUCUAUGUUGCUUCCUACACUGUUUCUUCUCCUGAUGUGAUAACAUCUAGACUGAGUAACAUGUUUAAAAGUGUACUGUUUUUGCUACCUUUUUUCACCUGUGUAAUGCUGCCCUCCUGCUUAUUGUUGGGGUUCAGACUGAAUGCAGUGGUAAAUGUGCUGCUCACAAUUGACAGCAGCAACAUGGACCUUUUACAUUGACAGGAAUGGUGUAUAUAGCUGCGUUUAGGCAUGGCUUCCUGUUUUGAGUCUGGUAAGUGGGUUUCUCAUUCUGCUGGAGUUGAUCUAGUAUUUUAUGUAAAACCGACCGUACGCAUCCAGGUUUUCCAUUUGUAACUCGCCCACCAAAAACACAAUGUGCUAUUUUACGUUGUACUAUUUGUGCUGGUCUAACUACUCAAAUGGAAAAGCAGAAGAACCUUUGCACUCUCAGAUAGUUAUUUAAUGUCCCAGGUUUCCAGCAUUGAUGAAUAUAAUUUAGUGUUUACCUAAAUUCAAAUGUUUUAUAUGUUGUGUAUAAAAGGCAUAUGUAUGCAUUGUUUACUAUACUGAACAAAAAUAUAACGCAACGUAAAGUGUUGGUCCCAUGUUUCAUGAGCUG
Long non-coding RNA from Oncorhynchus keta (chum salmon), 2496 nucleotides. RefSeq lists it as uncharacterized. The transcript is spliced from 3 exons. Lineage: Eukaryota; Metazoa; Chordata; Actinopteri; Salmoniformes; Salmonidae. The record is from RefSeq and is a predicted model, not a curated record.